RNAcentral lists this ribosomal RNA (253 nucleotides) under uncultured bacterium. RNAcentral's name for it is "partial 16S ribosomal RNA". It matches the Rfam family "Bacterial small subunit ribosomal RNA", at positions 524 to 776 of the family's 1533-position model. The record is from RNAcentral.
UACGGAGGGUGCGAGUGUUAAUCGGAAUUACUGGGCGUAAAGAGUAUGUAGGCGGUUAGAUAAGUUGAAUGUGAAAUCUCUGGGCUCAACCUAGAAACUGCAUUCAAAACUGUUUAGCUAGAGUAUGGUAGAGGAUAGUGGAAUUUCCUGUGUAGCGGUGGAAUGUGUAGAUACAGGAAGGAACACCAGUUGCGAAGGCGGCUAUCUGGACCAAUACUGACGCUGAGAUACGAAAGCUUGGGUAGCAAACAGG